CCAUACCACCCUGAACAUGCCGAUCUUGCCUGGUCUAGGAAGCUAAGCAGGGUCAGGCCUGGUUAGUACUUGGAUGGGAGAUGUGCUGGGAAUACCGGGUG
Ribosomal RNA from Pelodiscus sinensis (Chinese soft-shelled turtle), 101 nucleotides. The record is from Ensembl. NCBI's taxonomy places the organism in Eukaryota, Metazoa, Chordata, Testudines, Trionychidae.